AACACGUAGGUGAUCUGCCCUUGAGUUGGGGAUAGCUCAUGGAAACAUGGGGUAAUACCGAAUACGGUCCGGGAACUGUAGUACCCGGAAGAAAAGCGCUUCGGCGCUGCUCGAGGAUGAGCCUGCGGCUGAUUAGCUAGUUGGUGAGGUAAUGGCUCACCAAGGCGACGAUCAGUAGCCGGCCUGAGAGGGUGAACGGCCACACUGGGACUGAGAUACGGCCCAG
RNAcentral lists this ribosomal RNA (226 nucleotides) under uncultured bacterium. Its description in RNAcentral is "partial 16S ribosomal RNA". It matches the Rfam family "Bacterial small subunit ribosomal RNA", at positions 112 to 334 of the family's 1533-position model. The record is from RNAcentral.